AUUGAACGCUCGCGGCCGGCCUAACACAUGCAAGUCGGGCGAACGGCGGACGGGUGAGUAAUGUAUGGGGAUCUGCCUGAUGGCGGGGGAUAACUACUGGAAACGGUAGCUAAUACCGCAUACCAUCAGAUGCACCCAUAUGGGAUUAGAUAGUAGGUAAGGUAACGGCUUACCUAGGCGACGAUCCCUAGCUGGUCUGAGAGGAUGAUCAGCCACACUGGGACUGAGACACGGCCCAGACUCCUACGGGAGGCAGCAGGGGGGAAUAUGGCGCAAGGGGCGCAAGCCUGAUGCAGCCAGGCCGCGUGUAUGAAGAAGGCCUUCGGGUUGGAAAGUACUUUCAGUCGGGAGGCGUUACUGACAGAAGAAGCACCGGCUAACGCCAUGCCAGCAGCCGCGGUAAUAC
This 406-nucleotide ribosomal RNA is filed under the name uncultured bacterium. RNAcentral's name for it is "partial 16S ribosomal RNA". It matches the Rfam family "Bacterial small subunit ribosomal RNA", at positions 30 to 526 of the family's 1533-position model. The record is from RNAcentral.